UCCUGGAAUCUUGGAGUUAGCACCUUGCCUGUUCCUGGUAUUUGUUGUCUGUGUUUCUUGAUCUUUAAUUCACCACCAUGAAGUCUUUGACCCUCUUUGUUUUGCUGGGAGUUUGCACUAUCCUGGCCUCUGGCCAGACUACAACUGAUGCUGCAACUGAACCUGCUCCUGAAGAGAGCUCCACUACUGCUGCUGCUGCCCUCAUUGAUGCUGUGGCCAAUGAUGCUGUCACCAUAGCUGCAGCUACCACCACUAAGAAACCAAGUAAGAACAUUUUAACCAUGUGUGUCCAGUAUGGAGCUUCUGGAUGCGCU
This 314-nucleotide long non-coding RNA is filed under the name Ictidomys tridecemlineatus (thirteen-lined ground squirrel). Its description in RNAcentral is "lncRNA (ENSSTOG00000029780.1)". The record is from RNAcentral. Lineage: Eukaryota; Metazoa; Chordata; Mammalia; Rodentia; Sciuridae.